GUUGAACGCUGGCGGCAGGCCUAACACAUGCAAGUCGAGCGAAUAAAGGGAGCUUGCUCCUGGAUUCAGCGGGGGACGGGUGGGUAAUGCCUAGGAAGCUGCCUUGUAUUUGGGGAUAACGUCCGGAAACGGGCGCUAAUACCGCAUACGUCCUGAGGGUGAAAGGGGGGGAUCUUCGGACCUCACGCUAUCUGCUGAGCCUAGGUCGGAUUAGCUAGUCGGUGGGGUAACGGGCUACCAAGGCGCCGAUCCGUAACUGACCUGAGAGGAUGAUCAGACACACUGGAACUGAGACACGGUCCAGACUCCUACGGGAGGCAGCAGUGGGGAAUAUUGGACAAAGGGCGAAAGCCUGAUGCAGCCACGCCGCGUGUGUGACGAAGGUCUUCGGAUUGUAAAGCACUUUAAGUUGGGAGGAACGGCUGUAAGUUAAAACCUUCCCGUUUUGACGUUACCAACAGAAUAAGCCCCGGCUAACUUCGUG
Molecule: ribosomal RNA, 484 nt
Filed under: uncultured bacterium
Lineage: Bacteria
Description: partial 16S ribosomal RNA
Rfam family: Bacterial small subunit ribosomal RNA
Source: RNAcentral